UACGUAGGGUGCGAGCGUUAUUCGGAAUUACUGGGCGUAAAGCGUGCGCAGGCGGUUUUGUAAGCCCGAUGUGAAAUCCCCGGGCUUAACCUGGGAAUGGCAUUUGGGACUGCAAGGCUCGAGUGCGGCAGAGGAGACUGGAAUUCCUGGUGUAGCAGUGAAAUGCGUAGAUAUCAGGAGGAACACCGAUGGCGAAGGCAGGUCUCUGGGCUGACACUGACGCUCAUGCACGAAAGCGUGGGGAGCAAACAGG
This 253-nucleotide ribosomal RNA is filed under the name uncultured bacterium. RNAcentral describes it as "partial 16S ribosomal RNA". It matches the Rfam family "Bacterial small subunit ribosomal RNA", at positions 524 to 776 of the family's 1533-position model. The record is from RNAcentral.